UGCUCACACCGCUGCGGCGCUGAGGGCGGGGCGUGCGGGCGGCUCCGUGAGGGCGUGGGGCGGUCGAGUGUCGUGCGGGGAUUUCCGUUCUUUUUUUCUCCGCAGGGUUCGGGCCGGCGGAGCGGCAGGGCGAGGAAGAGGGAAAAGGAGCCCUGGGCGGGGNNNNNNNNNNNNNNNNNNNNNNNNNNNNNNNCGCGCUCGCGUGCUCGCUUCCCUUCUCGGUGCCGAGCGGGAGCCGCCAUGGCCGGGCAGCCCCUCCGCGCACCUCCGCUCCCCCCGGCCCCGAGGUCGGGAAACUCCGGACGGAGCUGCAUUGGAUGCGCUGGGUGGUGGCCGUCUGCUGGGCUCUUCUUUGGGACGGUGCUUUUUGAUAUCUGCUUCUCUUUUUCUUUUCUUCGAUGAGAAGCGCUUUCGGGAUCCGCGCUGGGUGCGGUCCGGCCGUCCUCAGCCCUCGGGAGGAGGCGGUCGCGGUGGGAAAGCAGCUGGCAGCCGGGAGCAGCGGGAUGGUCCCAUAAUGACAGUUCCCUUGAGAGGCAGCCAGCUUCUGCAGAAAACUUGUUCCAGCACUGAGCGCUGCAGAUACCUGAAGUCUGAAAAGAGAAGGAAAAAAGCCAAUUUCUCACUGUCUAGCCAAGUUUGUUUAUGAGAUUGGAAAUAACUGUGAUCUCAAGCAUCCGUCUGCAUGCAGAGGGUUUUCACAGCAGAUAUUCAGCUUUGGUAAACGGAUUUGCGGAUUUGCAUGGGGUAAAAAUGGAGGCAGAAAUAAACUUCUGAAACUGAGCCUCA
Molecule: long non-coding RNA, 786 nt
Filed under: Chrysolophus pictus (golden pheasant)
Lineage: Eukaryota; Metazoa; Chordata; Aves; Galliformes; Phasianidae
Description: lncRNA (ENSCPIG00010007991.1)
Source: RNAcentral